CCUACGGGAGACAGCAGUGGGGAAUAUUGGGCAAUGGGCGCAAGCCUGAUCCAGCAACGCCGCGUGAAGGAAGAAGGCUUUCGGGUUGUAAACUUCUUUUCUCAGGGACGAAGCAAGUGGCGGUACCUGAGGAAUAAGCCACGGCUAACUACGUGCCAGCAGCCGCGGUAAUACGUAGGUGGCAAGCGUUAUCCGGAUUUACUGGGUGUAAAGGGCGUGUAGGCGGGAAAGCAAGUCAGAUGUGAAAACCAUGGGCUCAACCGGGGGCCUGCCUUUGAAACUGUUUUUCUUGAGUACAGGAGAGGCAGGCGGAAUUCCUAGUGUAGCGGUGAAAUGCGUAGAUAUUAGGAGGAACACCAGUGGCGAAGGCGGUCUGCUGGACAGCAACUGACGCUGAGGCGCGAAAGCGUGGGGAGCAAACAGGAUUAGAUACCCUAGUAGUC
RNAcentral lists this ribosomal RNA (443 nucleotides) under uncultured bacterium. RNAcentral's name for it is "partial 16S ribosomal RNA". It matches the Rfam family "Bacterial small subunit ribosomal RNA", at positions 338 to 795 of the family's 1533-position model. The record is from RNAcentral.